Pasteurella multocida subsp. multocida str. Anand1_buffalo is the source of this 96-nucleotide non-coding RNA. Lineage: Bacteria; Pseudomonadati; Pseudomonadota; Gammaproteobacteria; Pasteurellales; Pasteurellaceae. The record is from Rfam.
CUAGCGAUGUAUUUUUAACUUAACUUUUAGGAGUUAUCAAAUGUCUCUAAGUACAGAAAAAAAGCAGCAAUCGUUGCUGAAUUUGGUCGUGAUGCA